CCUACGGGUGGCAGCAGUGGGGAAUAUUGCGCAAUGGGCGAAAGCCUGACGCAGCGACGCCGCGUGAGGGAUGAAGGUCUUCGGAUCGUAAACCUCUGUCAGCAGGGAAGAACGGUCACUGUGCUAAUCAGCAGUGAAUUGACGGUACCUGCAAAGGAAGCACCGGCUAACUCCGUGCCAGCAGCCGCGGUAAUACGGAGGGUGCGAGCGUUAAUCGGAAUUACUGGGCGUAAAGCGCUCGUAGGCGGUAUGUCAAGUCAAGGGUGAAAUCCCCGCGCUCAACGUGGGAACUGCCUUUGAAACUGGCAAACUGGAGUGGGUGAGAGGAUGGUGGAAUGCCAGGUGUAGGAGUGAAAUGCGUAGAUAUCUGGAGGAACAUCGGUGGCGAAGGCGACUAUCUGGCACAUAACUGACGCUGAGGAGCGAAAGCGUGGGUAGCAAACAGGAUUAGAUACCCGGGUAGUC
This 465-nucleotide ribosomal RNA is filed under the name uncultured bacterium. RNAcentral's name for it is "partial 16S ribosomal RNA". It matches the Rfam family "Bacterial small subunit ribosomal RNA", at positions 338 to 795 of the family's 1533-position model. The record is from RNAcentral.